AAAAAUAACAUUUUGUAGUCAAAUUUUUCCAUAUCUUAACAUACUUUUAUAUUUUAAUUGUUAAAAUUAAUUGAUAUUUUGCACAAAGAAGUGUAAAAGCAUUUUGUAGGCAAAAGAGCAUUUAAGGAAGAAAAAAAAGUCAAACCGCCUUAGUCCCGACCGGUCCAGAAUUCCCGACCGAUCGGGCACGAGAUCAGUGGCAAAAUUUUGGAAGACAACUUCAAAGUCAUUCUCCCACAAGUAACCAAGCUCUGACAACUUUUGAAGAUUAGCAUUUGUCAUGAUGAUGCCCAUGUGGGCAUAAGCCAAGCCAAAAUUAUUGACAAAAUUGGGUUCCCUCAUACCUCC
This 348-nucleotide long non-coding RNA is filed under the name Actinidia chinensis (golden kiwifruit). RNAcentral's name for it is "long non-coding RNA (ACHI_LNC003301)". Lineage: Eukaryota; Viridiplantae; Streptophyta; Magnoliopsida; Ericales; Actinidiaceae. The record is from RNAcentral.